GGGACACUUAAAGCGUUAGCUUCGGCACAGAGAGGGUCGAUACUCCCUAUACCUAGUAUCCAUGGUUUACGGCGUGGACUACCAGGGUAUCUAAUCCUGUUUGCUCCCCACGCUUUGGGGCCUCAGCGUCAGAAACAGCCCAGAAGGCCGCCUUCGCCACUGGUGUUCCUCCCGAUAUUUACGCAUUUCACCACUACACCGGGAAUUCCACCUCCCUCUGCUGCCCUCCAGCCCAACAGUAUCGAAUGGUCCCUCCCAGUUAAGCCGGGAGAUUUUACAUCCGACUUGAAAGACCGCCUACGCCCGCUUUACGCCCAAUAAAUCCGGAUAACGCUGCCCUCAUACGUAUUACCGCGGCUGCUGGCACGUAGUAAGCCGAGACUUAUUCCUCAGG
This 394-nucleotide ribosomal RNA is filed under the name uncultured bacterium. RNAcentral describes it as "partial 16S ribosomal RNA". The record is from RNAcentral.